GAUAGGGGUUUUUAGGAGGGGAAACUAGGAAAGUCGCUUAGUAACUUCAUUAGCGAAUUUAUACAACCUGUGAUUUUGCUCGAGUGCAAUUUGAAAGCCCCUUUUAGGUACACUCACACUGAACAAAGGCUAGCAUGUAGCGCAUUCUGUGUAGAAUUCCCACCUAAAUGUAUAAGCUAAGACUUAGGGGUUUCUUUAACCCUUUUGUCCUUCUAUAGACCUGUUUCUUUUUCUAUUUACAUUUCUAUUUGAAAUGUAAAUAAAGAAAAUAUCUAAUAAAAAAUUUCAUUGGCUUUUUCUGUCUGUAGUGGGGGCUACAGCUGGGGGUAGAAUAAUUAUUUAAUAUUUUCAUGCAAAUAUUUGACAGUGUUCCUGAAGUAUCAUGUGAAUAUUAGCUGUAGAAAUAAAUCCUUUGAUUUGAAUAGUCUUUAGAUCUUGAUAGCUAUUAACCACUGCAAAGUUCCUUUCUCCUUUCUCUUCUUCUCAUGUGACACCCCUCAAUGAAAGGUCCAUAUUGAAAUGUCUCAGGUUAAUUUGAGAGUAUGAGGGUAACCAAGGGAUAAACACUCGAAGUGUGUCACCUCUUGGGCUUGGGCAUCCCCAAAGACCUCCCCAGCACACUUCUUAGAAACUAGAAUGGGAAAGUUUUAAUUUCUCAUCCUUCUAUAUAAAAUAUUUUAUUGUGUAUGUGUUAUUGACUGUGCAAAGCAACUGUAUUUGUAGCAUAUAGCAUAUAUAUAGCAUAAGAAUAAACUUAAAGCGAUUUUGUAUGUAAAACUAUGUACACAUGAAUCUCUAGUGUAGUAUGUGUAGGUGGUUUGGCUUUUUGGCUUAGGGGGUUGUUUAUUUGGUUGCUUGGUUUUUUUCUGUGAACUAAUCUUUACCCUGUUUUUGAUCAAAGGGCUAAUAUGUAGCUAUGGUUUAAUUUAUAUUUAUAUUACCUCUUGUUUGACCAAAGAAGGUGUUAGUUAGAAUCUAAGAGCCACAUGGUAUACCCAAAGUGUCUUCUGACACUUUAAGCUGUAGGUGGCUUAGAAGGAACCACCAGAAAGCUGAAGUGCUGUUGGUCUCUAGCAAUCUAAAUGUGAAUAAAGCAAGCUCGAACAACGUGUAGUGGAGCUAGACCUGGGUUCUGGUUUCAACACCUUGAAAAUGUUCCUCUGAACCUCAGGAGCUGUGGGCCUAAAGUACUGAAGUCCUUAGAAAGGAAACAUCAGCAUACAUUUUCUGCACCGUUGAUUAUCUUAUUCGUAUUUUAAUUGCUUGUGCAGUGUUAUAUGGCUGUGUAAUCAUGUCUCCAUGUGGUUUGUGUUGAACCGCAUCAUUAUGGAAAUAUGACGCUCCAUUAAGCAUUAGGAAAAUAAUUGUUGUUUGUACAGAAACAAAACACAGCCCUUUCUCUGCUCAGUGCACAAGCAAAUCCCCCCACUAGUGUGUCUUUAAUAUGUAUGCACUACCCAGUUCUUCUCCAAUGUAAUGUCAGGUUCCUUUUUAUUUAUGUUUUUAUUACCUUUAAUCUUUUUUUUCUGUCCAGUCAUUGUCCCUCUCCCAUUCUGCCCUCCAACGGCUCCUUUUUAAAACCGCCUUACUGUAGCAUGCCCUGCGUAGUGGUGCUCAGGGGGACGAGCAAAGAGUGAACCUAGUCUUCCUCGCUUCAUACCCUUCUGUCCUCCCACUCUGCAAGCUGCCAGCCUCUUGCUUUUUGUUGUGUUCCUAGCAGAGUAUGGACUAGAAAAACAAAUGACAAAACAAAAAAGAAAAGAAAAG
Molecule: long non-coding RNA, 1767 nt
Filed under: Mus musculus (house mouse)
Lineage: Eukaryota; Metazoa; Chordata; Mammalia; Rodentia; Muridae
Description: long non-coding RNA chr13:43012827-43014594
Source: RNAcentral